This 224-nucleotide long non-coding RNA is filed under the name Vulpes vulpes (red fox). Its description in RNAcentral is "lncRNA (ENSVVUG00000010704.1)". Lineage: Eukaryota; Metazoa; Chordata; Mammalia; Carnivora; Canidae. The record is from RNAcentral.
UUUUUAUUCUGUAUGAAUAAUGUUUCCAAGCAGAAGUGCACUAAGUUAUUGCCUGAAAGCCAGUUGCCUGUUCGUUUAUUAAAGAAUCGUCUAUCAUGGCAAGAGUCAACUCUAUGUUUAGAGGAGAAAAUAACUUUUAUGACCUACAUGCAAGCCAGAAGUAUUUAAUGUGAAUUGAAUGGAUAGGAAUAGAGAUCUCUUUCAGAGCAGUGGAUGAAAUCUUC